CUUUUCAAGAGUGAUACCAGGGAGAGAGAGCACGGCUCGUUCGCCCAGAAACUGGAGCCGGGGCAGUUAUUAAAAAUCUCCCAUAUUGCUACUUUUUCACAUUGGAGUGGUUCUUGUUCCUACCAGGACAAGCGAAGAACCAACAAGUGUUAUCGAACGAGCAGGAGAUGAAGUGGGCGUGCAACCACCAGCACUUAACAACAACAACAUGCGAGUUCCACCAAAGGAGGAAACCGAAACAGACAGACCAUUACACUCACCACCGCCUGCCCCGGCCAAACAGACUCAGCUACCCAGGAUGGGGCUCGGUCCCUGGCUCCACCACCCUUGUGAUCCCGUCAACGGAGAGCCCAGGCGUAAUGGACACUAUGCAUGGAUGUGAAGCCCAGGAUCUUCUACUCUCCGGCUAAUUUGAAGACUUUGAGGAGGACCGCUGGGGAGUCCAGACGACUGCUGGAUUUCGCCGCAGGCGGGGAGACCCUCUGGGCUGAUGAACACCAAGAAAGCAGGACCCUCCACAGAGCUGCUGAGCAACCUGCCUCAUGUGAUGACUUCUUGUAUUCUGCCCAGCAGCUGUGAGAGCAAAGGAAAAAGCCUCACUGAGGGAUGGAAGGGACUUUCACAGUGUUAUGAACAGCCAGAGAGGCUGUCUCUGCAAACUGUAGCAUAUCCUCAGUGAUGCCCUGUGCUUCUAAUUUGAGCAAGGAGAACUUCCAUCACUCUGUGUGGUUUGUUUGUUUUUUCAAUCCUUCUUCUGGGAUGCCAACAAAAGUUCCAUAUACAUUUCAUCCUUGGUCUUCCUUUCCUGCUCUGCAUUCUGCAACUAAUAAUAGUCCUUGGAGACUCUGUGGCAUCAGGUAUAGGAACUGACAAAAAGAACCAAUAUUUAUUGAAGUAAUUCAAGUCUCCAUGACCACAAAAAUAAAAUAUUACUUUCCCCUCAAUUUUGGAAUAUGCUUCCAUAGCCUCUUGCCAGUCUGGGAAAAUUUCAAAAUGGUAGGACACCUCCCACCUUCAUUUUCCCCUUUGUGUAGUAACACUGUUCUAAUCCUAGGCUAUUGGUGUGAUGGUAAAAUGGCUGGGUGGAUGGGCAACAGGUUUGGGCAUUAGGAGUGAGUGUUUCCAUGGGGCAGAUUAAUAAUUGCUGCACAUCUUCAAGUUUCUCUUAUGUUGGAGGAUGUUGCCCUGAUAAAAGUCCCCGAGAGGCACAGAAGGGGCUUGUUAAAAAGGCUAUGGGAGGAGCAGAAAGUUGUGCAGUGAUAUUCACCAGAAUGCCUCUCUUCCCCCUUCCCUCCCCCCAAGAAGUGCUGCAGGACUGGAAGGGCAACCUUAUCUAUUAUAGUCAGCCCCAAGUAGAUUUUUCCCUUGCAAUGUGCCAAAACAGAGCAUUAUCUUUGCUUAAAUUCUUGCUUAUCACCUGCAAGCAUGCACAAAGUGCAUAAAAUUCUAUUGUAAUUGUUCUGAACCUAGGGGGUUAACAAUGUUUCGAGUCUGAUUACAGCUUGCCAAGGGUCUUACAAUCUCUAUGCAUUUUCAGUGUCUUACUUUGGGAAAUGCACUUAAUAAAG
This is a long non-coding RNA of Chelonoidis abingdonii (Abingdon island giant tortoise), 1568 nucleotides long. RefSeq lists it as uncharacterized. The record is from RefSeq and is a predicted model, not a curated record. NCBI's taxonomy places the organism in Eukaryota, Metazoa, Chordata, Testudines, Testudinidae.